This 497-nucleotide ribosomal RNA is filed under the name uncultured bacterium. RNAcentral's name for it is "partial 16S ribosomal RNA". It matches the Rfam family "Bacterial small subunit ribosomal RNA", at positions 28 to 507 of the family's 1533-position model. The record is from RNAcentral.
GAUGAACGCGGGCGGCGUGCCUAAUACAUGCAAGUCGAGCGAACAGACGAGGAGCUUGCUCCUCUGACGUUAGCGGCGGACGGGUGAGUAACACGUGGAUAACCUACCUAUAAGACUGGGAUAACUUCGGGAAACCGGAGCUAAUACCGGAUAAUAUAUUGAACCGCAUGGUUCAAUAGUGAAAUACGGUUUUGCUGUCACUUAUAGAUGGAUCCGCGCCGCAUUAGCUAGUUGGUAAGGUAACGGCUUACCAAGGCAACGAUGCGUAGCCGACCUGAGAGGGGGAUCGGCCACACUGGAACUGAGACACGGUCCAGACUCCUACGGGAGGCAGCAGUAGGGAAUCUUCCGCAAUGGGCGAAAGCAUGACGGAGCAACGCCGCGUGAGUGAUGAAGGUCUUCGGAUCGUAAAACUCUGUUAUUAGGGAAGAACAAAUGUGUAAGUAACUAUGCACGUCUUGACGGUACCUAAUCAGAAAGCCACGGCUAACUACGUG